AUGACUGAAGUUACCGUGGGCUGUCUGGUCUCUGGCUUCUUUCCCGAACCAGUCAAAGUACAGUGGAAUUCAGGAUCCUCCUCUGACAUCCGGACCUUCCCCGCUCUACUGGAUUCAUCCAGUGGCCGCUACACCCUCAGCAGCCAGCUCACCAUCCCAACCAGCACUUGGGAAUCAGAGAAGCUUCAAUGCCGUAUUGCACAUACAGCUACCAGCUCCACAAGCAACAAAGAGAUUGGACCCUGUGAAAAGAAAGAUCCCGUAGCCCCAAAGAUCCGCUUGCUCCAUUCCUCCUGCAAGGCCAGCUCCGGAGAUGCCACCAUUGAGCUAAUGUGCGUUAUCUCCAGCUUCUACCCCAACAAUGUGACGGUAAAUUGGCUGGUGAGUGGGAAACCUAUGUCGCAACCCUCAUUCACUGAGCAGCCCUGGAAAGACACACGUGGGUACACCUUCAGUACCAUCAGCACAGUCAACAUUAGCCAAGCAGACUGGGAGGAUGGGAAUGUAUACGUCUGCCAGGUGUCCCACACAGCAACCCAAACUUCUGUGAGAAGCAAAGCCAAGAUCUGUGAAGACUCCUCAGGAACUCCCCUCAAAGUUUUCAUCCUACCCCCAAGCCCCAACGACCUUUACAUGGAUAAGCAACCCAAACUCAGCUGCGUGGUAGUCAACUUAGAGAGCGAAGAGGAAGAACUGGAAGUGACCUGGUCACAGCAGACAGCAGGAAGUCUAAGCCCUGAGCCACUUGCAUGGAGAGAGGAGGUUAACAACACCUUCACAGCAUCCAGCUCUGUGAUCAUUCCCGAAAGCGACUGGUUGUCAGGGGCGACUUUUAUCUGCACAGUGAAACACCCAUCCCUGGCUCAACCGAAAACAAGAGAGAUUAGCAAGAAGAAAGAAACCCAAGAAGCUCCAGGUGUGUAUCUCUUCCGCCCCCACGGUGAUGAGCUCAGGUCUAAUGGCGGUCAUGUCUCCAUCACUGCCCUGGUGAGAGGGUUCAAGCCCAGUGACAUAUCCCUGAAAUGGCUCAAGAAUGGGAACCCUCUGCCUGAAGCUGACUAUCUCAUCACCCCAGUCUUCAGUGAAGGCGAUGGUUUAUAUUUCUUGUUCAGCAAGCUGAAAGUCCCCAAAGCAGACUGGAACAGAGGUGAUGCCUAUACCUGCAUGGUUGUCCAUGAAGGUCUGACCCUCAAGUUCAUCCAGAAGACCAUUGAGAAAUCCCGGGUGAUAAUAAUAUCGACAGAGGUUGAUCUCAGCGACAAGGUUGAACAGGAACUGGAAAAUCUAUGGACCGCCAUCUUGGUUUUCUUCAUUCUCUUCCUCAUCAGUGUGUGUUACAGCACCACAAUGACAUUCUUCAAGGUAAAAUGGAUUUUCACCACUGUGGCAGACCUGAAGAAGCAACCUAUAGGCCCUGAAUACAAGAAUGUCAUCCCACAGGCAUUCUAG
This is a non-coding RNA of Lacerta agilis (Sand lizard), 1449 nucleotides long. NCBI's taxonomy places the organism in Eukaryota, Metazoa, Chordata, Lepidosauria, Squamata, Lacertidae. The record is from the annotation of a RefSeq genome assembly.